UCCCAGGGCUGUCCCUGAGCUGUCCCCAGCUGUCCCCAGGUGUCCCCAGCUGUCCCAGGCUGGCACCCCAGGCUGUUCUCUCCACAGGGGCUGGCUGUCCCAGGGCUGUCCCUGGGCUGUCCCCAGCUGUCCCCAGCUGUCCCAGGCUGGCACCCCAGGCUGUUCUCUCCACAGGGGCUGGCUGUCCCAGGGCUGUCCCCAGCUGUCCCUGGGCUGUCCCGGGGCUGUCCCCAGGUGUCCCCAGCUGUCCCAGGCUGGCACCCCAGGCUGUUCUCUCCGCAGGGGCUGGCUGUCCCAGGGCUGUCCCCAAGCUGUCCCCAGUUGUCCCCAGGUGUCCCCAGCUGUCCCAGGCUGGCACCCCAGGCUGUUCUCUCCGCAGGGGCUGGCUGGACGGCCGUGUUCGAGCCCGCGAGCCCCGCGCCGCCCGUGGCCAUGGACGUGGGCUCCAGCGUGUGGGACUCGGCCGCCCCACAGAGCAGCGCCCCGGAGGAGAAGGGCUGGGCCAAGUUCACAGACUUCCAGCCUUUCUGCUGCUCCGAGUCCGGGCCUCGCUGCAGCUCCCCCGCGGACCCCGAGAGCGGCGGCAGCGACAGGAGCCCGGCACAGGGCCAGGACAAGAACUGUGAGUGACACAGGGCCCCGCUGGGGCUGCUCCAGCUCUGCAGGGAGCGGCUGGGCACGGCAAGCCCCGAGCCUUCCCUGCGGCAUCGGUGCACGAAGCACAGGCAGAAACCCCCGGGGUUUGCUGGGACAGGGCAGGAGGGAUGGAGAUGAGUUGGAGCUGAUACCAACAGGGACACUCCAUUCAUCCCUGGGGGUGUCCCAGGCCAGGCUGGGUGGGCUUGGAGCACUCCAGGACAGCAGAAAUUGUCCCCACCCAUGGUGGCACCGGGUGGGCUUUGGGCUCCUUCCCAGCCAGGCCACGGUUCCCAGACCACCCGUGGUGGCUGUUGGGCCCUGCUGGUCCCCCGGGGCCGUUCCAGGGAGCGCUGCCGAGGUUCCAGCCUGGGCUGCUGCUCCCGCAGGCAGCGCUGCCGCUCCGUGUGCGUGGAACGCGUGCGGGACGCGCAAGGCGCCGCUGGGCGCCCUGGACAGCAGCUCCUCGGGCAGCUCCGACAGCGACGACGACGACGACGACAAGGCCAAGGCUGGCACGGAAAGCACGGCGCAGGAGCCCGGCAAGGACAGGGCGGCUCGCAGCAGGUGGGUGGGAAGGGAUCUCCAGGGAUGGCCCCUGGGAUGGCCCCGUGUGCUCCCAGUGUCCCCUCUCUGUGUCCCCUGGGAGAGCAGGUCCUGCCCCGGGGGUGGCACAGGGCUCUGAGGGAUGGAUUUAGCACAGGGUUAUUGCAGGGAGUGGUGGGGGCUCCUUUGGGUCACUGCAGUGUCACAGCAUCACCUCUGUCCCUGUCCUUUGGGUCACUGCAGUGUCACAGCAUCACCCCUGUCCCUGUCCUUUGGGUCACUGCA
Molecule: long non-coding RNA, 1467 nt
Filed under: Cyanistes caeruleus (blue tit)
Lineage: Eukaryota; Metazoa; Chordata; Aves; Passeriformes; Paridae
Description: lncRNA (ENSCCEG00000005829.1)
Source: RNAcentral